RNAcentral lists this unclassified non-coding RNA (285 nucleotides) under fungal sp. Its description in RNAcentral is "partial internal transcribed spacer region". The stretch from base 1 to 46 matches the Rfam family "Eukaryotic small subunit ribosomal RNA", at positions 1786 to 1831 of the family's 1831-position model. Lineage: Eukaryota; Fungi. The record is from RNAcentral.
AAGUCGUAACAAGGUUUCCGUAGGUGAACCUGCGGAAGGAUCAUUGCUGAUGCCGGCGGCAUGGUCGAGCCCUCGCGAGGGGGUGAGGCCUGCCGCUUUCAACAUCAUCUGCCCCUUUGUGAACCUGGCAUUGGAGCGCCGACCGCGCGAGUGAGCUUUGGGGCCCACUCGCCUCAGGCCUCCUCUGCCCAACAACCUGUCUUUUAUUGCCUGUCUCCCCAGACUGAAGCAACAAAAAAACAAAAACAUAUCUUACAACUUUUAACAAUGGAUAUCUUGGCUCGC